UAGCCUUUUUAUUAGCUCAUAGUAGACUUAUACAUGCAAGAAUCCCCGCCCCAGUGAGAAUGCCCUCUAUAUCAACACUUGAUCAAAAGGUGCAGGCAUCAAGUUCACUUAAUUAAGUAGCUCACAACGCCUUGCUCAACCACACCCCCACGGGAUACAGCAGUAAUUAAAAUUAAGCCCCAUGAACGAAAGUUCGACUAAGUCAUACUAUACCCCCUGGGUUGGUAAAUUUCGUGCCAGCCACCGCGGUCAUACGAUUAACCCUAGUUAAUAAAGUACGGCGUAAAGCGUGAUUAAGAUACAUGCUAAAAUAAAACUAAAUCCUCACUAAACUGUAAAAAGUCCUAGUGACCAUUAAAAUAAACCACGAAAGUAGUUUUAAAAUAUCUGAACUCACGAUAGCUAAGGUCCAAACUGGGAUUAGAUACCCCACUAUGCUUAGCCCUAAACACAAGUACUUAGCAAACAAAAGUACUCGCCAGAGAACUACUAGCAACAGCUUAAAACUCAAAGGACUUGGCGGUGCUUUACAUCCCUCUAGAGGAGCCUGUUCUAUAAUCGAUAAACCCCGAUAUACCUUACCACCUUUUGCAAUAUCAGCCUAUAUACCGCCAUCUUCAGCAAACCCUAUUAAGGUCUUAUAGUAAGCGCAAUAAUUAUACAUGAAAACGUUAGGUCAAGGUGUAGCCUAUAAGGUGGAUAGAAAUGGGCUACAUUUUCUAUUUGCCCUAGAACAAUUUCAACGAUGACUUUUAUGAAACCUAAAAGUCCAAGGUGGAUUUAGCAGUAAGCUAAGAAUAGAGAGCCUAGCUGAAUAGGGCAAUAAAGCACGC
RNAcentral lists this non-coding RNA (833 nucleotides) under Spermophilopsis leptodactylus (long-clawed ground squirrel). RNAcentral describes it as "partial 12S ribosomal RNA". It matches the Rfam family "Bacterial small subunit ribosomal RNA", at positions 20 to 1384 of the family's 1533-position model. Lineage: Eukaryota; Metazoa; Chordata; Mammalia; Rodentia; Sciuridae. The record is from RNAcentral.